CAUCAUGGUCCUUAUGUCCAGGGCUACACACGUGUUACAAUGGCUAAUACAAAGGGAAGCAAAAUCGUAAGAUCAAGCAAACCCCAUAAAGUUAGUCUAAGUUCGGAUUGAGGUCUGCAAUUCGACCUCAUGAAGUUGAAAUCGCUAGUAAUCGCGUAUCAUAACGACGCGGUGAAUACGUUCUCGGACCUUGUACACACCGCCCGUCACACCAUGAGAGCUGUCUGUACCCAAAGUCAUCUUAGCCAACCUGAAAAGGAGGCGGAUGCCUAAGGUAUGUAUGGUGAUUGGGGUG
RNAcentral lists this ribosomal RNA (295 nucleotides) under uncultured bacterium. RNAcentral describes it as "partial 16S ribosomal RNA". It matches the Rfam family "Bacterial small subunit ribosomal RNA", at positions 1191 to 1482 of the family's 1533-position model. The record is from RNAcentral.